CACCUCUCAGGAUGGCACCUGUAGAGUUUUCAAUACUCUUCCAGUCUCGACUACCAGAGGGAGAGUCAAGCAGAGGCCUACCCAUUCCAUUCCCAGCUUGGGCAGUGGCUAGCGAGUGGAAGGCAAUUUGCUACAAGU
Tachyglossus aculeatus (Australian echidna) is the source of this 138-nucleotide small nucleolar RNA. The record is from RefSeq and is a predicted model, not a curated record. NCBI's taxonomy places the organism in Eukaryota, Metazoa, Chordata, Mammalia, Monotremata, Tachyglossidae.